RNAcentral lists this ribosomal RNA (407 nucleotides) under Fusarium oxysporum. RNAcentral's name for it is "eukaryotic LSU rRNA". The stretch from base 62 to 215 matches the Rfam family "5.8S ribosomal RNA". Lineage: Eukaryota; Fungi; Ascomycota; Sordariomycetes; Hypocreales; Nectriaceae. The record is from RNAcentral.
CAGAGGACCCCUAAACUCUGUUUCUAUAUGUAACUUCUGAGUAAAACCAUAAAUAAAUCAAAACUUUCAACAACGGAUCUCUUGGUUCUGGCAUCGAUGAAGAACGCAGCAAAAUGCGAUAAGUAAUGUGAAUUGCAGAAUUCAGUGAAUCAUCGAAUCUUUGAACGCACAUUGCGCCCGCCAGUAUUCUGGCGGGCAUGCCUGUUCGAGCGUCAUUUCAACCCUCAAGCACAGCUUGGUGUUGGGACUCGCGUUAAUUCGCGUUCCCCAAAUUGAUUGGCGGUCACGUCGAGCUUCCAUAGCGUAGUAGUAAAACCCUCGUUACUGGUAAUCGUCGCGGCCACGCCGUUAAACCCCAACUUCUGAAUGUUGACCUCGGAUCAGGUAGGAAUACCCGCUGAACUUAA